CCUGGAAAGUAUGCUAAGGGACAUGGAAAACAAGGAGGUGAUUGCUGACAGCCCUUCACUAAGGACAAAUUUUGCCUGACAAAUCUGUUUGCCUUCUAUGACAGGGUUACAGUGUCAGUGGAUAAGGGAAGAGCAACCCAUAUGUCAUCUGCCUAGACUUGCACAAAGCAUUUGACACUGCCUCACAUAACAUCUUUCUCUCUAAACAGGGAAGACAUGGAUUUGAUGGAUGGACCACUUUGUGGAUAACAAAUCAGAUGGACAGUCCUACUCCAAAAGUUGCAGUUUACAGCUUGGGGACUUUUUUUCAAAGAACUUCUCAAACAGAGUUGGUUGGCCAAAUACAGGAAUAAUUGGCUGAAAACCUCUGGAAUGCCAUCUUAAGGGACUCUAAUCACCUCAAAAAUAAAUGCAGUAUACAUUUUCAUCACUGUAUUACUCUCAGACCUAGUUGCCACUUGUAAAACAAAGGGAAGACUCAUAAAUUCUUUGGAAGGUAGACAGGACCUAAAAGCUUAAACAAGGAACAAGAUGAAGUGUGUUAAUGAUCCGUAGAUCUGUUGUUCAAUUUUUAAAUAAGUGUUCAAGAAAAUCUUGCAAGUAGUUGGAAAAAUAUAACUGACACUUCUCUCAAAUUGUCAUGGAAUGUACUCCAGCUGUAUUUAUUAUACACAUUUCCCCCAUGUGCUAUGUGCUUGCAUUCUUUUGUGAUGAAUGAUGUUGCCGUGUGUUGGAAUCUUCGUGCUAUCUUUCUUUGAAUCAGGAAUGUGCAGAGGGUUAUUUGAGAAAAAAAAACUGUGGGACUUAACCUCAUAUUUUUGAAUUUGUAGCAUGGAGUUGAGCAGUGGCUGAACAUCUUGGUUUAGGAGAGUUCACUGGAAGCAGAACACAGCCUGCUAAUGCCGCCAGAGAACUCAUGCCUUGCUGCCCGGUUUGCCAUGUCUACAAGAACUGAGGAUCAGAACUCCAUCUGCUGUUGUCUGACUUUUCAUUGGAAGCCCUUGGACAUAAAUGUCACCUUUCUGAUAAGGACCAUAGCUGGGUCAGACAUUCCCUCCACC
This 1061-nucleotide long non-coding RNA is filed under the name Parus major (Great Tit). Its description in RNAcentral is "lncRNA (ENSPMJG00000000567.1)". Lineage: Eukaryota; Metazoa; Chordata; Aves; Passeriformes; Paridae. The record is from RNAcentral.